Molecule: ribosomal RNA, 497 nt
Filed under: uncultured bacterium
Lineage: Bacteria
Description: partial 16S ribosomal RNA
Rfam family: Bacterial small subunit ribosomal RNA
Source: RNAcentral
GAUGAACGCUGGCGGCGUGCCUAAUACAUGCAAGUCGAGCGAACAGACGAGGCGCUUGCUCCUCUGACGUUAGCGGCGGACGGGUGAGUAACACGUGUAUAACCUACCUAUAAGACUGGGAUAACUUCGGGAAACCGGAGCUAAUACCGGAUAAUAUAUUGAACCGCAUGGUUCAAUAGUGAAAGACGGUUUUGCUGUCACUUAUAGAUGGAUCCGCGCCGCAUUAGCUAGUUGGUAAGGUAACGGCUUACCAAGGCAACGAUGCGUAGCCGACCUGAGAGGGUGAUCGGCCACCCUGGAACUGAGACACGGUCCAGACUCCUACGGGAGGCAGCAGUAGGGAAUCUUCCGCAAUGGGCGAAAGCCUGACGGAGCAACGCCGCGUGAGUGAUGAAGGUCUUCGGAUCGUAAAACUCUGUUAUUAGGGAAGAACAAAUGUGUAAGUAACUAUGCACGUCUUGACGGUACCUAAUCAGAAAGCCACGGCUAACUACGUG